This 468-nucleotide ribosomal RNA is filed under the name uncultured bacterium. RNAcentral's name for it is "partial 16S ribosomal RNA". It matches the Rfam family "Bacterial small subunit ribosomal RNA", at positions 28 to 507 of the family's 1533-position model. The record is from RNAcentral.
GACGAACGCUGGCGGCGUGCUUAACACAUGCAAGUCGAACGGAAAGGCCCGGCUUUUGUUGGGUGCUCGUGUGCCGAACGGGUGAGUAACACGUGUGUAUCCUGCCCUUGACUUUCGGAUAACAUUAGGAAACUGGGGAUCAUAUCCCGUAGAAUCUCCUGCUCCGUAGGGGGGGUUGGUAAGUGUCGGCGGUUGUGGAUGGACUCGCGGCUUAUCAGCUAGUUGGUGGGGUAGGGGCGUACCAAGGCUUCGACGGGUAGCCGGCCUGAGAGGGUGAACGGGCACAAGGGGACUACGAGACGGCGCAGAAUGCUACGGGAGGCAGUAGUGGAGAGUAUUGCGCAGUGGGCGGAAGCCUGAUGUAGCAACGUCGGGAGCGUGAUGCCGGCCUUCUGGUUGUAAACAGAUUUCGCCUGUGACGAAGAGUGAGUGACGGUACUGGGUAAAGAAGCACCGGCUAACUACGUG